CCGACAUCACCUUCAUUUCUCUGCAAUACUUGAAGAAACCAUAACAUACCCACUCAAUAUCACCAUCUACUUCAUUUUCUUCUCUAAGUCUGGUCAUCAGACUUGCUUCCCGGUAACCCCCCCCUCUAUUAUCGGCCGGCCACCACCAUUUUUGGUGGUGGCGGACUACAACAGCAACAACACCACCACCACAGGCGGCGGCGCUGUGGUGGGUGGUGGCGGGUGAUGUCUCAAGCAAGAGAGAGAGAGAAGUGGCGAUAGAGAGAGGAAGACACGAGAGCCGAUGAAAGAAAGAAGAGCCGGUGAGGUGCCGGCGGUGGACGACGACGUUGGCAUACGACGGCGGUGAACCUCGGAGACGAACUUUUCGGUGAGGGCUUUCUUCCUUAAUUCGAUGAUUAUGAUGAUGAUGACAGAAUGGUAGGGUUGGCCGAUGGCGGCGUUCGCCGUCGGGUCACCGGCGUUGGUGGCGGUGAAGGUUUUCUUUUUUUUUACUUGGGCCUUUAGUAUCACAGCUUCGGUUCAAGCGGGUCUGAUUUGGUUCGAGUUUUAUUUCAGAUCCGGUUCAAGUCAGUUAUCGGUUAACAUUCGGGUUUCAGUUUCGGGUCAGAUACGGUUCGUCUCGAGAUGGUCAGACAUGGUCAAAGAAAAAUUUGGUUCAAGUCGGGUUUCGUUUCGAUUAACAACAAUCAUCUGGUAGUUGGUUCAGAUUACGGAUCAGAUCAGUUUUGGGUGGUUCGGGUUCGCGACACGGUCAAAGUCAGUCAACGAAAGUCAACUGUCGGGUCAACAGGUCAAACGCGGUCAACUAAGACCCGGUAAAGUUUUAAUGUCGCGAAACGUAGUUUAGCUCGAUAUAGAUUUCAGAUUUUUAGUA
Long non-coding RNA from Helianthus annuus (common sunflower), 877 nucleotides. RefSeq lists it as uncharacterized. NCBI's taxonomy places the organism in Eukaryota, Viridiplantae, Streptophyta, Magnoliopsida, Asterales, Asteraceae. The transcript is spliced from 2 exons. The record is from RefSeq and is a predicted model, not a curated record.